CUGCCACUGAGGAGUCCCAUAAUAGGACGAAACGGCCAUCAAGCAG
RNAcentral lists this non-coding RNA (46 nucleotides) under Schistosoma mansoni. The record is from RNAcentral. Lineage: Eukaryota; Metazoa; Platyhelminthes; Trematoda; Strigeidida; Schistosomatidae.